GCGGAGGUUGCCAAGCCUGGUCAAAGGCGUAGGGUUCAGGUCCCUAUCAGCCGCAAGCCUCUUGCGGCAGGGGAUGUUCCGUAGGGAUUCGCGAGUUCAAAUCUCGCCCUCCGCACCA
RNAcentral lists this transfer RNA (118 nucleotides) under Candidatus Thorarchaeota archaeon. Its description in RNAcentral is "tRNA-Leu". It matches the Rfam family "tRNA". Rfam says of the family: Transfer RNA (tRNA) molecules are approximately 80 nucleotides in length. The record is from RNAcentral. Lineage: Archaea; Promethearchaeati; Candidatus Thorarchaeota.